AACGAACGCUGGCGGCGUGGCUAAGACAUGCAAGUCGAACGGACUGGUCAAUUUAUUGGACAGUUAGUGGCGAAAGGGUUAGUAACGGAUAGGUAACGUACCCUGUGCUUUGGGAUAGCGUCAUCCCGACUUCGGUCGGGAUUUCCGAAAGGGGCGGUAAUACCAAAUAAUAUCAUUUGUCUAUAGGCAGGUGAUCAAAGAUUUAUCGGCAUAGGAGCGGCCUGCCUCCUAUCAGCUUGUUGGUGAGGUAACGGCUCACCAAGGCAGCGACGGGUAGCGGGACUGAGAGGUUGACCCGCAACAUCGGGACUGAGACACUGCCCGGACCUCCACGGAGGGCUGCAGUAACGAAUCUUGUGCAAUGGGCGAAAGCCUGACACAGCGACGCCGCGUGUAGGAGGAAGUCCUUCGGGAUGUAAACUACUGUCAGGGGGAAGAAAGUGCGCUUCGGCGCAUUGAUCUACCCCAAAGGAAGUCACGGCUAACUUCGUGCCAGCAGCCGCGGUAAGACGAAGGUGGCAAGCGUUGUUCGGUAUUACUGGGCUUAAAGCGUGUGUAGGCGGAGAUGUAAGCGUUGCGUGAAAUCCCCCGGCUUAACCGGGGAACUGCGUAACGAACUACAUUUCUUGAGGCAAGUAGGGGUGCAUGGAACUCUUGGUGGAGCGGUGGAAUGCGUAGAUAUCAAGAGGAACGCCAGUGGAGAAAUCGGUGCACUGGGCUUGUUCUGACGCUGAGACACGAAAGCGUGGGUAGCGAACGGGAUUAGAUACCCCGGUAGUCCACGCCGUAAACGAUGCCUACUAGGUUGUGCAAGUUCUGACACUGGCACAGCCGAAGCAAAAGUGUUAAGUAGGCCGCCUGGGGAGUACGGUCGCAAGGCUAAAACUCAAAGGAAUUGACGGGGGCUCACACAAGCGGUGGAGCAUGUGGAUCAAUUCGAAGCAACGCGUAGAACCUUACCUGGGUUUGACAUGCAUGUAUGCUUGCUUGGAAACAGGUUAAGCUGCCCUUCGGGGUGAAACUUGCACAGGUGCUGCAUGGCUGUCGUCAGCUCGUGUCGUGAGAUGUCGGGUUAAGUCCUUUAACGAGCGAAACCCUUGCCGUUAGUUGCCAGCGAGUAAUGUCGGGGAC
This 1131-nucleotide ribosomal RNA is filed under the name uncultured bacterium. RNAcentral describes it as "bacterial SSU rRNA". It matches the Rfam family "Bacterial small subunit ribosomal RNA", at positions 28 to 1138 of the family's 1533-position model. The record is from RNAcentral.